UGAGAAUGCACGCAUUAUUGGAGUGUUAAUAGGACAGCGCGCACCUUAAUUUCGAUCACGUUCCCCUGCUUUGCUUAUCUCCCUCACUCCUUUCUUUUCUGCAAAACUCUCUCUUUUCAUUCCUUUCACCAUUCCCUUUCUUUCUCGCUUCACACCUUUUUCCACGUUGCUUUUUAAACUAAGUAGCAUCCAUUAUUACUCCUGUCAAUUACGCCACUAUAUUCACGUUUUAACUUUACUUGACCUCCAUCGAAAUCUCAAUUACGUGCAUUUCACUUUUUCCGCUUCCAGAUAAACAUACAUACACAAGCGGCGAGAGAGAUGAACAUCUUCUUCUUCGUCGCUUUGGUGUUGUUGUGUGUAGUGACAGUAGCAGCUCCAUGGCGGGUUGUCUCCGAAGAUAAUGAAGAACAACACAGGCUUCUGGUGAACAUGACUCUCGUUAAGAACGCUCGUGCCGGCGGUGCUCUUUGUUUGGACGGGAGUUUACCGGCUUAUCACUUGCAUAGGGGAUUUGGAGCUGGACUCAAUAACUGGCUUCUACAGUUCGAGGUGCACCUUUUCAAACUCUCUCUCCCCUUUUCAAACUCUUGCUUUAUUUUCUACCAUUUUUUAAUAAAAAAUUGAAAGAAUCAACACUUUCAUUAAAAUUUAGUCAAUAUUUACUUAUAAAAAAUAUAUAAUUUUAUACUAUAUAAUUUAGUCUCCUCAUACUCAUCUAAGAGGUUGCGAGUUUGAGUCAAAUUUUUGUUAAAAAAAAAUGACUAUAAAUAAUUAAAUGUGCUGUUUUUAUCACUACUGUUUUAUUAAACCAAAAACUUUAAUUAGUUCUCGCUUUGUUACAAGCAUAAGAGCUUUUUGAUGAUAUUAGAUGAGAUUAAUUCGUCUGUGUUAGUUUUGAUGCUACACUAUUCAUCAAUAACAUAUCGCGUUUAGUUUGUAAAUUAGAAAAAUACUAAUUAUUAUAACCAAUUUUAGAAUUAAAUCAGGUCCAAAUCAACUCAACGAAUUAAUUUAUGUAAAAAGAUUGCUCAAAUACUCUUAAACACGUAUUAUUCCAUAUUUCUAGUCAAGAUGAGAUUCUACCAAAUAAUUACAUAUAAAAAUACAUUUUAGUAUUUUAAAUAAGGUAAUUAAUGAAAAUGAAAGUUAUGUCUUUUUUAGUCUAACAAAAAAUUAUUUAUUCAUAGAAAGUUAUUUUACGUGGAGAAGCAUUUAUUUGAGUAACGCUAGGCUGCUUUGUUUUACGGGUUUAAUAAUUGUGGUAGACCGGUAGAGUUUGAAAAAGGGGUGGCGAUUUUUUACUUCUAGUUUCUGGGGAAAUCAAACAAGGGCGAUGAUGGUUGGUUUCGAAAUGCUAUACAACUAAGGACCAAAAAAAGCUAUAGGACACUGAUUUUUCUGUCGUCUAUAUAGAGUUUUGCGCGCGCACUUCUUUUGUUUCAGUUACCCGCCCCAACAAUUCUCAUGAAUGAU
Molecule: non-coding RNA, 1476 nt
Organism: Arachis ipaensis
Lineage: Eukaryota; Viridiplantae; Streptophyta; Magnoliopsida; Fabales; Fabaceae
Source: RefSeq, a predicted model, not a curated record